GAUGAAGAACGCAGUGAAAUGCGAUAAGUAGUGUGAAUUGCAGAAUUCAGUGAAUCAUCGAAUCUUUGAACGCACAUUGCGCCCCUUGGUAUCCCGAGGGGCAUGCCUGUUCGAGCGUCAUUUCACCACUCAAGCCUGGCUUGGUGUUGGGCGACGUCCUCUUUGGGGACGCGCCUCGAAACGCUCGGCGGCGUGGCACCGGCUUUAAGCGUAGCAGGAUCUUUCGCUUUGGAAGUCGGGGCCCCGUCUGCCGGAAGACCUGCUCGCAAGGUUGACCUCGGAUCAGGCAGGGAUACCCGCUGAACUUAAGCAUAUCAAUAAGCGGAGGA
This 329-nucleotide unclassified non-coding RNA is filed under the name soil metagenome. Its description in RNAcentral is "partial contains 5.8S ribosomal RNA, internal transcribed spacer 2, and large subunit ribosomal RNA". The stretch from base 1 to 120 matches the Rfam family "5.8S ribosomal RNA", at positions 35 to 154 of the family's 154-position model. The record is from RNAcentral.